AUCCCCGGCGCCACUGUGAUCG
Molecule: microRNA, 22 nt
Filed under: Drosophila melanogaster (fruit fly)
Lineage: Eukaryota; Metazoa; Arthropoda; Insecta; Diptera; Drosophilidae
Description: dme-miR-9382-3p
Source: miRBase by way of RNAcentral